CGAAGAUCAAGGUGCCAGCAGAUUUCUGCAUCUGGUGAGGGUCCACUUCCUGGUUCACAGAUGGCCAUCCUCUCACUGUGUCCUCACAUGGAGAAAAUAACAAGGGAGCACUCUGGGGCCCCGUUUAUAAGGGCACUAAUUCCUUUCAUGAGGGCUCUGCCCUCAAGACCUAAUCACCUCCCAAAGACCCUACCUUCUAAUACCUUGGGGCUUAGGAUUCCAACAUAUGAAUUUUGAGGUAACAUAAACAUUCCACCUAUAGCAAGUAGCAUCUUAGUGCUUGUACUUAAAUCUCUAAACGUGGCAUAAUCCAAGGCCACUUGGGUGCCAGGAGAAGCAGAUGAAUUUGGAUCAAUCAGAUCUAAACAAGGUUGUGCUGGCCCACGUAUGUCUACAGGUAUGAGGGAAGCCUGUGUUUAGGAGCUGCUGUUGAUGGCAUCAGGCACAGCAGAGUAAUUCAGGAGCAGCCAUACUCACAUGCUUUUUUCUGGUUUUGUCACCCAAGGACGGUGAUGGCAAACCUAGCAGCAGGUUAGAUUGCCAGCUGCACCUGCUGCUUGACUCCAGCAGAGCAGAUGAUUGUUUUGUUGGGCUGUGAGUGCUCGAUGGAGCUACCGGUGGAACUGAGUUUCCUCUUUAAGGGAAACGAGGACAAGGACAAGAUCCCGUCUUUUCUGCACUCAGUCGCCCCGCCCCCAACGCAAGUAGGCAUGUUUAUUGGAUGAUAAGAGGGUCAGUCAAAGUAAGGACCAACCCUCUACUGCCAAAAGACACAUACUACUCAAGGGCCCCUGACUCAGACGUUCUCACUGGUCGGAAAUGCCAUCAAUCAAGUUUCAAUCCCCGCCCCCUUCUCGCGGAAGAACUAUGGGUGCUAACCUCUCUCUCAGGCCUGCUGUCAAUCGGCUCCGCAUCCUCUAGUUCUGCACAUCCCCGGCCAUCAGAGCACGAACUUCUGGUCGGUCCGCCUGCCGUUCUUUCACCUAUAGAGCCCACCCUCUAAAGGUGUCCAAGCUGCUCCAAAGAACAAUUGAUUAACCCAACGGCUGUCUUUGGCCCUCAGAACUGUCACACCUGGCUCCGCCUCUUCCCGGACAUCAUCUGUUGCACCAGAGACUGGCGGGUCUGGAAAGAAGCUCUGAGCCCAUCCGCGUUUCUCUGUUGGACCCUGUCAGGUCUCUUGUUCCGUGUCCAAUGUCAGUCGGGUAGGGAGGCAGUGGGGCAGUCUUGGUUCUCAUCCCACCCCGGAGUCUCUGCGCAGCCACAAUUCAGGAAAACAAUCUGGAGGCGGGUUCAAAACACUAAGAUUGAUUGAACGCGCUGAUGGUUUGGUUUUCUCCUAUAGCGCUUUGGUAGUGGCUUUUAUCCAGACCGCCCCCCCCCCACCCCCCCGGAAUGAACCCUGGUAUAGAAAUGUUACCCGUAUGUGUGCAUAUGAUUGUUUUUAAUAUAUUUCAAUUUGAUGAAUCAGCCUUUUUCAAGGUCAGAUUCCAGACCGACCCUUCUGGCGCCCACCCCCCGCUUUUUUUUUUUUUUUUUUUUUUCCAAAAUGAAAGCUUUCCCAAAGAGGCCACGUUUGUAGGGCUAGUGGAAUUUUUUGGAAAAGGGAGAAAGCGGAUUCUGGAUGAGGACAAUGGUGGCCCAGAAGUCGCUAUGACUUAAGAGUCUUGGCAGAGGCAGAGGCUGGGGAAAGCGAGCAGUGUUUUUCAUUUAGGUGGCAUCUGUACGAAUCCUAGUUUGGAAAGGUGCGAAGGUUAUGUGCCUUUGUUUUUAAUAUUUUGGAUUUUUAAUUUUCUGUUUCUUUUUUUCACUUAGUUUUUAUCUUCGAAGUUUAAUUUUGCUGUUUUUUUAUUUCAUAUUCUUAAAAAUUGUAUAAUUAAAUUUUAUUGCUACUGGCUUUUAAUUAAUUCAUUAAUUAAUUUUGAGACGGAGUCUCGCUCUGUUGCCCAGGCUGGAGUGCAGUGGCGCGAUCUCAGCUCACCACAACCUCCGCCUCCCGGGUUCAAGCAAUUCUCCUGCCUCGGCCUCCCGAGUAGCUGGGACUACAGGCACGCGCCACCAUGCCUGGCUGAUUUUUGUAUUUUUAGUAGAGACUGGGUUUCACUAUGUUGGCCAGGCUUGUCUCGGACUCCUUACCUCAUGAUCCACCCGCCUCGGCCUCCCAAAGUGCUGGGAUUACAGGCGUGAGCCACCGCGCCUGGCCUUACUUAUUUUUAAAGCAAAUUCUUCUAGAUCCUGAGUUUCUGGCUUUUUAAAUUAAAAUUACAAGAAAAUGUAUUGAUUCCUCUGGUGUUAACAGGUCUGGAGACAUACAUUUAUGAUGCUUUGGAGCUAUUGAUAAUAUAUAGAGUACUUUAUUCAUUAAUUAUUUCAUUCUAAAAACCCUGCUUUAUAUAUCCCCAGAAUACUAAGGCCUGGUGGGGAAUAUCUUAUAAAUAAUUAAUGGUUAUUACUAAUUAUUAAUAAUAACCGUCAAUGAAAGUAAGAUAGAAACUGUUAAGAGAUUCAGUUAAGUACUGUGUAAUUUUGUGUUGAUUAUAUCUGCCAGUAAUAUUCAUCAUGCAUUGCAUAGAAGUGGGAUUGUCUUUCUUUUUCUCCUAGCUGGUUUGUGAGAAAAUUGUGAGCAAUUUUGCACAGGGAGACUUCGAUGUCUGACUAACAUUUAUUGACUGCUUGUAUGUACUAGGAAUAAUUCUAAAUGCUGAUCAUGUGUUAUUUUUUUCUCUUUUUUUCUUUUUAUUUGUCAUUCUAAAUGCCCUUCAUGUAUUGUCUCAUUUAAUCCUCACAAAUAGGCACAUUUAUUCUCGUCAUACUACAGAUGGGGAAACAUCCGUAAGUGGCAGAGAUGGGAUUUGAACCCAAGCCGUCUUAAGGACUGCACUGGAACGGUGUUUUUUGUUUUCUAAAAUGGGGGUAAUAAUACAUGUAAAGUGAUUAGAACAUAUAGUUAGCUCUGAAUACAUGGCAGAACUUACUGCAGUUAUGGCCUUGUUUAAGGCUCCCAGCCACCCUGUGAGUUAGGGAUCAACAUGAUCCCCCUUUUCUACAAGAAGAAACAGGUUCUGAGAGAAUAAAUGACUUGCCCAAGGCCACUCGGUACAUGGCCUAGCUGGGCUCAUGCUGUGGUCAUUUUCCUGCUAUAAACCCUUCCCAAGUUCCACACCCUACUCUGGAUGAACUCUUGGUGCAUUAAGGCUUUUGAUUCAUAAAAUUUAAAUAUAUUUCUAAGCUGGGUACGGUGGCAUGCACCUAUAGUCCCAGCUUCUCGGGGGGCUUAGGUGGGAGGAUUGCUUGAGCCCAGGAAUUCAAGUCCAGCCUGGGCAAUAUAGCAAGAACCCAUCUCUAAAAAUAAACAAAUAAGUUUCUGAACACACACAUGUCAAACCCCUGUGUGAUCUGGCCCCAACCCACCAGUCCUGCCUUAUCUUAAUGGAUUUAGGGGUUUUUAAAAUUUAUUUUUAUUUUAUUAGUAUUAUUUCAGUAGUUUUGGGGGAACAGGUGGUGUUUGGUCACAUGAAAAAGUCCUUUAGUGGUGAUUUCUGAGAUUUUGGUGCACCCAUCAUCCGAUGUGGAGUUUUUUACCCCUCACCCCCUUCCCACCCCCUCCCCCCAGUCCCCAGAGCCCAUUGUAUCAUUCUUAUGCCUUUGGGUCCUCAUAGUUUAGCUCCCACUUGUAAGAGAGAACAGGGCGGACGCGA
Molecule: long non-coding RNA, 3698 nt
Filed under: Homo sapiens (human)
Lineage: Eukaryota; Metazoa; Chordata; Mammalia; Primates; Hominidae
Description: non-protein coding lnc-RBM10-1:2
Source: RNAcentral